Long non-coding RNA from Zingiber officinale, 258 nucleotides. RefSeq lists it as uncharacterized. The record is from RefSeq and is a predicted model, not a curated record. The transcript has 3 exons. Lineage: Eukaryota; Viridiplantae; Streptophyta; Magnoliopsida; Zingiberales; Zingiberaceae.
AGAAAGAGAUAACAGAGCUUUGGUAGAGCAAUAUGUGAAAUUAGUUAUUCAGUGGAAUUCAGAAAAAUCAAAGGAACGAAGUGAAAAAAAUAAGAUUGCUCGGAAGCAAAAGAUAAUGAAUCAGACAACUGGAAGAAGAUCUUUUGCUCAAGUGCAACAAAAAUUGGGAAAAGAAAGGGGACGCCCUCCAUCACGAGUCGAAUUAUUCCAUGCUUGCUUUACUCAUGCUAAUGGAAGCCCCUCAAGCAACAUUGUGGC